UACGUAGGGUGCAAGCGUUGUCCGGAAUUAUUGGGCGUAAAGAGCUCGUAGGCGGUUUUGUCGCGUCUGCUGUGAAAAACUCGGGGGCUUAACCCCCGGGCCGCAGUGGGGUACGGGGCAGACUAGAGUGCGGUAGGGGGGAGACUGGAAUUCCUGGUGUAGCGGUGAAAAUGCGCAGAUAUCAGGAGGAACACCGGUGGCGA
This 203-nucleotide ribosomal RNA is filed under the name uncultured bacterium. Its description in RNAcentral is "partial 16S ribosomal RNA". It matches the Rfam family "Bacterial small subunit ribosomal RNA", at positions 524 to 718 of the family's 1533-position model. The record is from RNAcentral.